This 1509-nucleotide ribosomal RNA is filed under the name metagenome. Its description in RNAcentral is "bacterial LSU rRNA". It matches the Rfam family "Bacterial large subunit ribosomal RNA", at positions 1424 to 2912 of the family's 2925-position model. The record is from RNAcentral.
AACCGGUCAAGAUUCCGGUUCCACCCACGACCGUUUGAGCGAUGGGGGGACGCGGGGGGCUAGGUCCCGGGGUGGUGACACCCUCCAAACUGGUAGGCCGUGCUGGGAGGCAAAUCCCCUGGCACAAAGGCUGAGAGGUGAUGGGCAGGUGCGUGUGCAAGCACAAGCCGCAGGGAUUGAGGCCGUACCGCCGAGAAAAGCCUCUAGUGAGGGCGUGGGUGCCCGUACCGCAAACCGACACAGGUGGGCUGGUCGAGUAGACCAAGGUGGACGAGAGAACCUCUGUCAAGGAACUCGGCAAAUUGGCCCCGUAACUUCGGGAGAAGGGGCGCCCCGUGUAGCGUGAAGGACCGCGCGUCCGGAGCGUGAGGGGGCCGCAGUGACCAGGCCCAGGCGUCUGUUUACCAAAAACACCGGUCCCUGCCAACGCGGAGAGCGUGGACGUAUAGGGGCUGAGACCUGCCCAGUGCCGGAAGGUUAAAGGGAGUGGUGCAAGCUAAGAACUGAAGCCCCGGUAAACGGCGGCCGUAACUAUAACGGUCCUAAGGUAGCGAAAUUCCUUGUCGGGUAAGUUCCGACCCGCACGAAAGGUAGAACGAUCUGGGCGCUGUCUCGACAGGGGACUCGGCGAAAUUGGAGUAACGGUGAAGAUACCGUUGACCCGUGGCAGGACAAAAAGACCCCGUGGAGCUUUACUCCAACUUGUCGUUGGGCGCGGGCGCGGCUUGUGUAGGAUAGGUGGGAGCCGGAGAAGCUGGGACGCUAGUCCUGGUGGAGGCGACGGUGAAAUACCACCCUGGCGGCGCUUGUGUUCUCACGCGGCGUGUGAUCCACGUCGCGGACCGCGGCUGGUGGGGAGUUUGACUGGGGCGGUCGCCUCCUAAAGAGUAACGGAGGCGCCCAAAGGUUCCCUCAGGCCGGAUGGCAAUCGGCCGGAGCGCGCAAGGGCAGCAAGGGAGCUUGACUGCGAGGCGGACAUGCCGAGCAGGGACGAAAGUCGGGCCUAGUGAUCCCACGGUGCCGAGUGGAAGGGCCGUGGCUUAACGGAUAAAAGCUACCCCGGGGAUAACAGGCUGAUCCUGCCCAAGAGUCCACAUCGACGGCAGGGUUUGGCACCUCGAUGUCGGCUCGUCGCAUCCUGGGGCCGGAGAAGGUCCCAAGGGUUGGGCUGUUCGCCCAUGAAAGCGGUACGCGAGCUGGGUUCAGAACGCCGUGAGACAGUUCGGUCUCUAUCCGCCACGGGCGCAGGGAGUGUGCGGGGGGCUGACCCUAGUACGAGAGGACCGGGUUGGACGCACCGCUGGUGAGCCAGUUGUCGGCAACGGCAUCGCUGGGUAGCUACGUGCGGACGGGUGAACCGCUGAAAGCAUCUAAGCGGGAACCCCUCCUCAAGAUGGCACUCCCCACUGAGAGAUCAGGUAAGGCCCCCGGCAGAUGACCGGGUUGAUAGGCGGCAGGUGGACAGCGGGUAACCGACUGGAGCUGAGCCGUCCUAAUGGCCGAGGCCGG